This 253-nucleotide ribosomal RNA is filed under the name uncultured bacterium. Its description in RNAcentral is "partial 16S ribosomal RNA". It matches the Rfam family "Bacterial small subunit ribosomal RNA", at positions 524 to 776 of the family's 1533-position model. The record is from RNAcentral.
UACGGGGGGGGCAAGCGUUGUUCGGAAUUACUGGGCGUAAAGGGCUCGUAGGCGGCCAACUACGUCAUACGUGAAAUCCCUCAGCUUAACUGGGGAACUGCGUGUGAUACUGGAUGGCUUGGAUUUGGGAGAGGGAUGCGGAAUUCCAGGUGUAGCGGUGAAAUGCGUAGAUAUCUGGAGGAACACCGGUGGCGAAGGCGGCAUCCUGGACCAAUAUUGACGCUGAGGAGCGAAAGCCAGGGGAGCAAACGGG